This 253-nucleotide ribosomal RNA is filed under the name uncultured bacterium. Its description in RNAcentral is "partial 16S ribosomal RNA". It matches the Rfam family "Bacterial small subunit ribosomal RNA", at positions 524 to 776 of the family's 1533-position model. The record is from RNAcentral.
GACGAACCGUGCGAACGUUGUUCGGAUUCACUGGGCUUAAAGGGCGCGUAGGCGGGCGACCAAGUCCGGGGUGAAAUCUUUCGGCUCAACCGGAAGAGUGCCUUGGAUACUGGUUGCCUCGAGGGAGGUAGGGGCAUGCGGAACUUCCGGUGGAGCGGUGAAAUGCGUAGAUAUCAAGCGGAACACCAGUGGCGAAGGCGAGUCCCUGGACAACUCCUGACACUGAGGCACGAAAGCUAGGGGAGCAAACAGG